RNAcentral lists this ribosomal RNA (255 nucleotides) under uncultured bacterium. RNAcentral describes it as "partial 16S ribosomal RNA". It matches the Rfam family "Bacterial small subunit ribosomal RNA", at positions 524 to 776 of the family's 1533-position model. The record is from RNAcentral.
UACGUAGGGUGCGAGCGUUUGUCCGGAAUUAUUGGGCGUAAAGGGCUCGUAGGCGGUUUGUCACGCGGGGAGUGAAAACUCGGGGGCUUAACCCCGAGCCUGCUUCCGAUACGGGCAGACUAGAGGUAUGCAGGGGAGAACGGAAUUCCUGGUGUAGCGGUGAAAAUGCGCAGAUAUCAGGAGGAACACCGGUGGCGAAGGCGGUUCUCUGGACCAUAUUGACGUGAGGAGCGAAAGCCAGGGGGAGCAAACGGG